Molecule: long non-coding RNA, 2298 nt
Filed under: Olea europaea subsp. europaea
Lineage: Eukaryota; Viridiplantae; Streptophyta; Magnoliopsida; Lamiales; Oleaceae
Source: RNAcentral
AUAGAACUUAAUUUUGUUUUAUAGAUAUUCAGAGAUUAGUUCAUCAGAAAGCACGUCAAUAUUUUGUUUUGUUGUGGUGCUAAAAGUAGGAUGGAAGUAUUCAAUUCGAAAUCCUCCGAAGCGAAGGAAAAACAAUAAAAAGAUGGCAGCUUGAACAAGAAUGCAGGUAAGCAAGCAAAGCAGCUAAACUAUUUGAUCAAAUAUUAAGAGAAUAAUGAUUUAGGUGGUUGGAUCAUGAUCCAUUUUACAUUUACAUCCGUACUCUUAUAAUUUAUAAAUGUGAUUGCAAAGGAAAUUUGAAAUUUCAGCCACAGCUAAAACAAAAUUAUAUUGCUUUUUUAUGCACGCAUUUCCAAGUUUUACCAUGAUGCAAGUUCUACUUUGUAGUCCCGACAUCUAAACCAUAAAAUUGCUGUUAAUAAUAUUAAUGUCAGGACAAAUCACGUGAAAUCUUCCUCCAUUUUUUUUUUUUUUGGGGUAAUGUAAAUUGAGCUUGGAGUCGUACAUAUGAAAAGGAUUCUCAAAUAGCCACGGAAAUAGAAAGCACAGGAACCUAGUAUUCUCUAAUUUUUACUUUUUACUUUUUUUUCCCCUUCCCAUACUAAUUUUUUCAAUAACCUUUUUUAAUUUCAACCAGGGCCGGUUUUGGGCCGAUGCAAGUGAGGCCCUUGCCUCAGGCCCAAAAAUUUAAGGGGCCUCAUAUUUUUAUUCAUUUUAUAUUUUUAAAAAAAUAUCUAAUCCCUAAUUUCCUACCCGUAACCUGUCUUCCCUUCCCUGUCCCAAUUGCGAGAGGCAAGAGGUGAGAAACAACCAGAGAAAGGAAAGACCCAAGGAACCGGCAUUGACCUUGACGCUUGGUGACGCCGUCUUCUCUCUUCUCACUUUUCUCUCAGCCGUCUGCUGCGCCGCGCCACUACCUGCCUAUUACGGUAUAAAAUCUGAUUGGUAUGUAUUCCUUUUUUUUUUUUUUUUUGGGCAUUGAAGAAGUUUUUAGAUGAAGUGGAUUAAAUAGGGCUGUUAAUUGAAAUUUGUCUUUAUAAUUCAAGCAUAUAGCUUAUUCUUUUUUUCAUUGGCCAGUAAGACAGUAACUUUAGGAGAACAUUUGUGUAUAUUUAAGAAAUCAAAAACUUCUAUUUUUUGUACAGAAUAUGUUUGGUUAACUUCUCUUACAAAAUUUGCAACUAAGUAUGCCAUUAAUUUAUACCUUUUACAAGUCACAAUAUUUAAGAAGAUAAAUCUGCAACUCUGUUGAGAAUUGUUGAGUGUUGGCCUGAUGAUCCUUUUGAGACCUUUAACAGUUGCAACGGUAUUAUACAAUGCUAAUUUGAUUACAGCAGUCACUCAAUCACUUUAUUAUUGGUGAUAAUUAAGAUGGAGUUUCAAUUCUGGUAUUAUGGACUGUGGCCGUGGGUAUUGGGUAGAAAUUAGAAUGUCUGCAAUACACUAGACUACCAUUUUUCUUCCAAAUCUUCCUACCACCUACCCCAAUUUCAACUAAUAACAAAAACAAAAGAAACAUUUUCCUUAAGAAAUUCGGGAUGACUAUGUGAAUCUUUUUUUAUAAUUCUAUUCUAUCUAUUGCAAUAUUUAUUCGAUAAUCCCAAUAAACUAGAUCUACAUUAGUUCUUAUAAUUUGAUCUAUUCGUUCUUUGUAUGAUAUGAUCUAGUAAGACGACAGUCUUAAGAAUGCUAUUUUCUUUAAGUCUAUGAAGGGCGUGUCUCAAUUAUAUAAGUUGUCUUUUCCUUGAUUUAUUUUUAAGCAUUGCGACUAGGUUGUUGAAUUAAAUUCUUAGAAUUUGUGCAUUGUUUCGAGCUCUAUGAUGUGUAGGAAUCUUAGUUGUGAGUUCAUUCCUCGCUAAUAGGUAAUCUUCAUAGAAGAAUAAACUGCUUGAAAAUCCAGUGAACAAGAGUUUGAAUGGGAGCAAAGGCAAAAGAGAGACGUCUCGAAUAGAGCAUUAGUUGGGAAUUUGAACUAAUGAAAACAUUGAAAAGUUGUUCACGUAGGCACCUAUUUUGCAUGCAUAAUACAAUUUUUUUUUUUUUUUUUUGGAGAGGGGCCUACUAUAUGAAGUUCACCUCGGGCCCCAAAAAUCACAGAACCAACACUGAUUUCAACAACUAUGAUUAGUUAAGGAAAUUUUUCACACCUCGUGAGGCAAGUCACGUGACAACUUAGUUAAAUAUUUUAAAUAUUUUUUUUUUUGUAGAUUUAGAAGGGAGCCAAUUUGGGAAGAAAUAUGAAAAGGAUUCUCAAGAGCCAUCAACAAUGAAAGCAGAGGAACCAAGUAUGCUCUAAUG